RNAcentral lists this ribosomal RNA (497 nucleotides) under uncultured bacterium. RNAcentral describes it as "partial 16S ribosomal RNA". It matches the Rfam family "Bacterial small subunit ribosomal RNA", at positions 28 to 507 of the family's 1533-position model. The record is from RNAcentral.
GACGAACGCUGGCGGCGUGCCUAAUACAUGCAAGUUGAGCGAUGAAGAUUGGUGCUUGCACCAAUUUGAAGAGCAGCGAACGGGUGAGUAACGCGUGGGGAAUCUGCCUUUGAGCGGGGGACAACAUUUGGAAACGAAUGCUAAUACCGCAUAACAACUUUAAACAUAAGUUUUAAGUUUGAAAGAUGCAAUUGCAUCACUCAAAGAUGAUCCCGCGUUGUAUUAGCUAGUUGGUGAGGUAAAGGCUCACCAAGGCGAUGAUACAUAGCCGACCUGAGAGGGUGAUCGGCCACAUUGGGACUGAGACACGGCCCAAACUCCUACGGGAAGCAGCAGUAGGGAAUCUUCGGCAAUGGACGAAAGUCUGACCGGGCAACGCCGCGUGAGUGAAGAAGGUUUUCGGAUCGUAAAACUCUGUUGGUAGAGAAGAACGUUGGUGAGAGUGGAAAGCUCAUCAAGUGACGGUAACUACCCAGAAAGGGACGGCUAACUACGUG